GUGCCCAUCACCUUCUUGCCGAGGAACCGAGGGGACUAUGCUCAGUUCUGGGACCUGGAGUGUCACCCAGUGGCUGAGCCUCAGCACAAGACCAGGAUCCGCUUCCAGCUCUGUGGCACUGGUGUGAAGGUUGGUCCAGCGGCGGCUCCUCAGGAAGCAGACUGUUCUCUGGUGAAGACUGAAGCCUUUAAGACCAGGAGAAGACCUGACCCGGUCGCUGAUGGGGGCAUGACUGGGUGAGGACUGGCCCUCAGGUCACCCUAGUGAGGACUGGCCCUCAGGUCCCCCUAGUGAGGACUGGUCAGGAGGAGCCUCUAUGUAGAGGGGUCUACGCCCCCAGGACCACUACUCAUUCCCCCCUACCAGGGUGGGGGAGACCAGCACACUGAAGGUCAACAUGAGAAACAACUCCUUGGAAACGCAUGGGCUGAUGUUCCUAACCCCUAAAGAGCCCUUCCACAUCAAGCAUUCCAGAUAUUCCCUACGAUCCCAACGCUACAUCCACCUGCCAGUCCAGUUCAAGCCGGUUGUCACCGGCAACCACUCCAGCCAGCUGUUGGUUCAGACGGAUACCAGUGGAAACAUCGCUAUCCAGCUGACUGGUGAAGCCCUGGCCUGAGGACGUCUGGGUCAGGGAGGACUGCUGGGUCUGGGUCAGGGAGGACUGCUGGGUCAGGGAGGACUGCUGGGUCUGGGUCAGGGAGGACUGCUGGGUCUGGGUCAGGGAGGACUGCUGGGUCUGGGUCAGGGAGGACUGCUGGGUCUGGGUCAGGGAGGACUGCUGGGUCUGGGUCUGGGAGGACUGCUGGGUCUGGGUCAGGGAGGACGUCUGGGUCUGGGAGGACUGCUGGGUCUGGGUCUGGGAGGACUGCUGGGUCUGGGUCAGGGAGGACUGCUGGGUCUGGGUCAGGGGAGGACUGCUGGGUCUGGGUCAGGGAGGACUGCUGGGUCUGGGUCAGGGAGGACUGCUGGGUCUGGGUCAGGGAGGACUGCUGGGUCUGGGUCAGGGAGGACUGCUGGGUCUGGGUCAGGGAGGACUGCUGGGUCUGGGUCAGGGAGGACUGCUGGGUCUGGGUCUGGGAGGACUGCUGGGUCUGGGUCAGUGAGGACAGCUUGAUGUGGUUACCAUGGUGGGGUAGAUGGGUAAUGAACUCUCUCCCAGUGGACAGCUUGAUGUGGUUACCAUGGUGGGAUAGAUGGGUAAUGAACCCUCUCCCAGUGGACAGCUUGAUGUGGUUACCAUGGUGGGAUAGAUGGGUAAUGAACUCUCUCCCAGUGGACAGCUUGAUAUCCUCUGGGGGUCUACAGCUCUAUAUCCUAUCCUCUGGGGGUCUACAUAGAGCCAGCAGACUACAGCUCUAUAUCCUCUGGGGGUCUACAUAGAGCCAACAGACUACAGCUCUAUAUUCUAUCCUCUGGGGUCUGCAGCUCUAUAUCCUAUCCUAUGGGGGUCUACAGCUCUAUAUCCUCUGGGGGUCUACAGCUCUAUAUCCUAUCCUCUGGGGGUCUACAUAGAGCUAGCAGACUACAGCUCUAUAUCCUAUCCUCUGGGGGUCUACAUAGAGCUAGCAGACUACAGCUCUAUAUCCUGUCAUCUGGGGGUCUACAGCUCUAUAUCCUAUCCUCUGGGGGUCUGCAUAGAGCUAGCAGACUACAGCUCCAUAGCCUAUCCCCUGGGGGUCUACAUAGAGCUAGCAGUCUACAGCUCUAUAUCCUAUCCUCUGGGGGUCUACAGCUCUAUAUCCUAUCCUCUGGGGGUCUACAGCUCUAUAUCCUAUCCUCUGGGGGUCUACAUAGAGCCAGCAGACUACAGCUCUAUAUCCUGUCCUCUGGGGGUCUGCAGCUCUAUAUCCUAUCCUCUGGGGGUCUACAGCUCUAUAUCCUAUCCUCUGGGGGUCUACAGCUCAAUAUCCUAUCCUCUGGGGGUCUACAGCUCUAUAUCCUAUCCUCUGGGGGUCUACAGCUCUAUAUCCUAUCCUCUGGGGGUCUACAGCUCUAUAUCCUAUCCUCUGGGGUCUACAGCUCUAUAUCCUAUCCUCUGGGGGUCUACAUAGAGCCAGCAGACUACAGCUCUAUAUCCUGUCCUCUGGGGGUCUGCAGCUCUAUAUCCUAUCCUCUGGUGGUCUGCAGCUCUAUAUCCUAUCCUCUGGGGGUCUACAUAGAGCUAGCAGACUACAGCUCUAUAUCCUGUCCUCUGGGGGUCUACAGCUCUAUAUCCUAUCCUCUGGGGGUCUGCAUAGAGCUAGCAGACUACAGCUCUAUAGCCUAUCCCCUGGGGGUCUAUAUAGAGCCAGCAGUCUACAGCUCUAUAUCCUAUCCUCUGGGGGUCUACAGCUCUAUAUCCUAUCCUCUGGGGGUCUACAUAGAGCCAGCAGACUACAUCCUGUCCUCUGGGGGUCUGCAGCUCUAUAUCCUAUGCUCUGGGGGUCUGCAGCUCUAUAUCCUAUCCUCUGGGGGUCUACAGCUCUAUAUCCUAUCCUCUGGGGGUCUACAGCUCAAUAUCCUAUCCUCUGGGGGUCUACAGCUCUAUAUCCUAUCCUCUGGGGGUCUGCAGCUCUAUAUCCAAUCCUCUGGGGUCUACAGCUCUAUAUCCAAUCCUCUGGGGGUCUACAGCUCUAUAUCCUAUCCUCUGGGGGUCUACAGCUCUAUAUCCUAUCCUCUGGGAGUCUACAGCUCUAUCCUAUCCUCUGGGGGUCUACAGCUCUAUAUCCCUAUCCUCUGGGGGUCUACAUAGAGCCAGCAGACUACAGCUCUAUAUCCUAUCCUCUGGGGGGUCUACAGCUCUAUAUCCUAUCCUCUGGGGGUCUACAGCUCUAUAUCCUAUCCUCUGGGGGUCUAUAUAGAGCUAGCAGACUACAGCUCUAUAUCCUGUCCUCUGGGGGUCUACAGCUCUAUAUCGUGUCCUCUGGGGGUCUACAGCUCUAUCCUGUCCCUCUGGGGUCUACAGCUCUAUAUCCUAUCCUCUGGGGGUCUACAUAGAGCUAGCAGACUACAGCUCUAUAUCCUAUCCUCUGGGGGUCUGCAGCUCUAUAUCCUAUCCUCUGGGGGUCUACAGCUCUAUAUCCUGUCCUCUGGGGGUCUACAUAGAGCCAGCAGUCUACAGCUCUAUAUCCUGUCCUCUGGGGGUCUACAGCUCUAUAUCCUAUCCUCUGGGGGUCUACAGCUCUAUAUCCUGUCCUCUGGGGGUCUACAUAGAGCCAGCAGUCUACAGCUCUAUAUCCUGUCCUCUGGGGGUCUACAGCUCUAUAUCCUGUCCUCUGGGGGUCUACAUAGAGCUAGCAGACUACAGCUCUAUAUCCUGUCCUCUGGGGGUCUACAGCUCUAUAUCCUAUCCUCUGGGGGUCUACAUAGAGCUAGCAGACUACAGCUCUAUAUCCUGUCCUCUGGGGGUCUACAGCUCUAUAUCCUGUCCUCUGGGGGUCUACAGCUCUAUAUCCUGUCCUCUGGGGGUCUACAUAGAGCUAGCAGUCUACAGCUCUAUAUCCUAUCCUCUG
Molecule: long non-coding RNA, 3494 nt
Filed under: Salmo salar (Atlantic salmon)
Lineage: Eukaryota; Metazoa; Chordata; Actinopteri; Salmoniformes; Salmonidae
Description: lncRNA (ENSSSAG00000103048.1)
Source: RNAcentral